Molecule: ribosomal RNA, 660 nt
Filed under: uncultured bacterium
Lineage: Bacteria
Description: bacterial SSU rRNA
Rfam family: Bacterial small subunit ribosomal RNA
Source: RNAcentral
CGGAGAUUGUAGCAAUACGGUCUCAGUGGCGAACGGGUGAGUAACGCGUUGGUGACCUGCCCCGAAGUGUGGAAUAACAGAUCGAAAGAGCUGCUAAUACCGCAUAAUAUCCAGGAGAUCAGAUGCUUCUGGAUUAAAGGAUUUAUCCGCUUCGGGAGGGGCCUGCGUCCCAUCAGCUAGUUGGUAAGGUAAAGGCUUACCAAGGCGAUGACGGGUAGGGGACCUGAGAGGGUGGCCCCCCACAAUGGAACUGAAACACGGUCCAUACACCUACGGGUGGCAGCAGUAGGGAAUAUUAGUAAUGGGCGAAAGCCUGAACUAGCAACGCCGCGUGUGCGAAGAAGGCCUUCGGGUUGUAAAGCACUUUUUGAGAGGAUGAGGAAGGACGGUACCCUCAGAAUAAGUCUCGGCUAACUACGUGCCAGCAGCCGCGGUAACACGUAGGAGGCGAACGUUAUCCGGAUUUACUGGGCGUAAAGCGCGUGUAGGUGGUUUGGUAAGUAGGGCGUGAAAGCUCCUGGCUCAACUGGGAGAGGCCGUUCUAAACUGCCGAACUAGAGGAUGGUAGAGGGAGGUGGAAUUCCGGGUGUAGCGGUGGAAUGCGCAGAUAUCCGGAGGAACACCAGUGGCGAAAGCGGCCUCCUGGACCAUUCCUGACAC